This 914-nucleotide ribosomal RNA is filed under the name uncultured bacterium. Its description in RNAcentral is "bacterial SSU rRNA". It matches the Rfam family "Bacterial small subunit ribosomal RNA", at positions 33 to 965 of the family's 1533-position model. The record is from RNAcentral.
ACGCUGACAGAAUGCUUAACACAUGCAAGUCUUUGGCGAAGCUGUGCUUGCACAGCCUAGCCAAGGCGGACGGGUGAGUAACGCGUAAGGAACUUGCCCUGCAGUCAGGGAUAACAGACGGAAACGACUGAUAAGACCUGGUAAGGUCAGGCGGACUCAUGUCCAGCCUGAUGAAAAGAGAUGCUGCAGGAGAGCCUUGCGUCCUAUUAGCUUGUUGGUGGGGUAACGGCCCACCAAGGCGAUGAUAGGUAGCCGGCCUGAGAGGGUGGACGGCCACAAGGGGACUGAGAUACGGCCCUUACUCCUACGGGAGGCAGCAGUGGGGAAUAUUGGACAAUGGGGGCAACCCUGAUCCAGCAAUUCUGUGUGCACGAUGAAGGUUUUCGGAUUGUAAAGUGCUUUCAGCAGGGAAGAAAAAAAUGACGGUACCUGCAGAAGAAGCGACGGCUAAAUACGUGCCAGCAGCCGCGGUAAUACGUAUGUCGCAAGCGUUAUCCGGAAUUAUUGGGCAUAAAGGGCAUCUAGGCGGCCAGAUAAGUCUGGGGUGAAAACUUGCGGCUCAACCGCAAGCCUGCCCUGGAAACUAUGUGGCUAGAGUACUGGAGAGGUGGACGGAACUGCACGAGUAGAGGUGAAAUUCGUAGAUAUGUGCAGGAAUGCCGAUGAUGAAGAUAGUUCACUGGACGGUAACUGACGCUGAAGUGCGAAAGCUAGGGGAGCAAACAGGAUUAGAUACCCUGGUAGUCCUAGCUGUAAACGAUGAUUACUGGGUGUGGGCAUGAAGAGUGUCCGUGCCGAAGCUAAUGCGAUAAGUAAUCCGCCUGGGGAGUACGGCCGCAAGGCUGAAACUCAAAGGAAUUGACGGGGACCCGCACAAGCGGUGGAGCAUGUGGUUUAAUUCGACGCAACGCGAG